This 1146-nucleotide ribosomal RNA is filed under the name Triticum aestivum (bread wheat). Its description in RNAcentral is "partial small subunit ribosomal RNA". Lineage: Eukaryota; Viridiplantae; Streptophyta; Magnoliopsida; Poales; Poaceae. The record is from RNAcentral.
GUAAUAACUGAAUCUGAUCUGAACUUGGUUUCAUUAAUAUAAUGGAACCGGGGAAAAGAUUCCCUGUUCUUCAAAAAAUAUCUGUUGCCACUACAAAUUCCAAUUCCCGCACGUCCGAGGUGAGGAAGAAGAGAAGAGGAGAUAGGGGCGUCUCCAAUUUCCUGCCACUGUUUUGCAAGUGGAUAUAAGGCUAUGGCCCCUUGCUCCAGGCCCGCUGUCCACGGCAGCCAGGGGCUCUCCCAUCGGUGGUGGCUGCCCAUCAGUCAGACCUCCUAUUUCUCGCCGGCGGGUGAGCUGAUUUGGGGGCUGCUGCUUGACUGGCAAUUGCACAGUUUGCCAGACUUUGGGGUGAUGUCGCGAGAGUGCGGUUGCGGCAUGAUACGGCUGACUCAAUGACUUGGAGGUGGACGACCAACGGCAUGUUCUCUUCUACUACCGCCUAUGCUGCGCAAUUCGAGGGGGGCACUCGCUUCAACGGACAACAACUGCUUUGGUUAGCUGACGCGUCGCUCAAGUGGUGUAUCUUUGCGUGGCUUACGAUUCUGGGUAAAUGCCUGAUGGCAAAAAACUUAAGAAGGGAUGGCCUCGCGAUCCGGUUUGUUGCCUGUGCCGCACGGCGGACGAGGACUCUCCUUCACAUGUUGGCUCGCUGCCCCUUUGUCCAAUCUCUUUGGGGCCUCAUGUUACGCAGCUGCAACCUACUUGCAACCUUGGGGCCAACGUCCGCGACAUCAUGCCUUGUUGAUUGGUGGGCCAACACCAUCAAUGUUGCGUCCAACAAGAUGGGAUGGAACGACAUCGUGGUGGUCUGGUGAUUCACCUAGAAAGAAAGAAAUGCAAGAAUUUUCAGGCACGUGAUAUGAUAUCCCCUAUCAAUAAUGGAUUCAACUCAAUGCAUGAUGAAGUAUUGAUUUGGUCCCAGGCGAGUCGCCGCAAGAUCAUGUCCCCACCAGAGCGACCACUAGAGUCGGAAUGAUCACCUCACAUCUGCUGAUGUUGUUUGCAGCGCAAUAAUUGUUGUUGUUGUUUCUAUACUCUACUCCCUCUGUCCCAGAAUGUAAGACGUCUGUCUUACAUAAUGAAACAAAGGGAGUAGUUUUAUGUAGAACUCCUCUCAUUGAAAUGAAAAGCUGCGCCAUCGGUGUU